UUCGAGCCUGGGAGAGGGGUUGGGAACCGGGGGAGGGGGCUUGGGGCCAGCUUUAGGGUGGCACAGCUUUAUGGGAUCUGUAUGGGGUCUGUAUGGGAUCUGUAUGGGAUUUGUAUGGGAUCUGGAGGUGCUCCUCCUCCUCCUCCCCACCAAACGCCAAAAAGUGGCGUUUUUUGGUAGUUUUCCAAAAAAAACCCAAACUGCCGAGCCCUUCCUGGCUUUUAGGGGACCGACCGUGUUCCCACCACCGCUGGUGGUCCCCAGCCCCGAUUCCUGCUGGAAAAACCCCAAAUCCCUCCGGAUCCGCCCCGAUAACCGCAGAGGCAGGGACCAUGAAUGGCUCCGGCACCGCAGCCCCCAGCCCCAAAGCCACGGAGGAGCAGAACGGGAACGGGAACGGGGAG
This 404-nucleotide long non-coding RNA is filed under the name Anas platyrhynchos platyrhynchos (common mallard). Its description in RNAcentral is "lncRNA (ENSAPLG00000026995.1)". The record is from RNAcentral. Lineage: Eukaryota; Metazoa; Chordata; Aves; Anseriformes; Anatidae.